GGUUGCGAUCAUACCAGCACUAAUGCACCGGAUCCCAUCAGAACUCCGCAGUUAAGCGCGCUUGGGCGAGAGUAGUACUAGGAUGGGUGACCCCCUGGGAAGUCCUCGUGUUGCAACCC
Molecule: ribosomal RNA, 119 nt
Filed under: Helianthus annuus (common sunflower)
Lineage: Eukaryota; Viridiplantae; Streptophyta; Magnoliopsida; Asterales; Asteraceae
Source: RNAcentral